RNAcentral lists this ribosomal RNA (750 nucleotides) under Acinetobacter sp. RNAcentral's name for it is "bacterial SSU rRNA". It matches the Rfam family "Bacterial small subunit ribosomal RNA", at positions 75 to 820 of the family's 1533-position model. Lineage: Bacteria; Pseudomonadati; Pseudomonadota; Gammaproteobacteria; Moraxellales; Moraxellaceae. The record is from RNAcentral.
GUAGCUUGCUACUGAUCUUAGCGGCGGACGGGUGAGUAAUGCUUAGGAAUCUGCCUAUUAGUGGGGGACAACAUCUCGAAAGGGAUGCUAAUACCGCAUACGUCCUACGGGAGAAAGCAGGGGAUCUUCGGACCUUGCGCUAAUAGAUGAGCCUAAGUCGGAUUAGCUAGUUGGUGGGGUAAAGGCCUACCAAGGCGACGAUCUGUAGCGGGUCUGAGAGGAUGAUCCGCCACACUGGGACUGAGACACGGCCCAGACUCCUACGGGAGGCAGCAGUGGGGAAUAUUGGACAAUGGGGGGAACCCUGAUCCAGCCAUGCCGCGUGUGUGAAGAAGGCCUUAUGGUUGUAAAGCACUUUAAGCGAGGAGGAGGCUACUUUAGAUAAUACCUAGAGAUAGUGGACGUUACUCGCAGAAUAAGCACCGGCUAACUCUGUGCCAGCAGCCGCGGUAAUACAGAGGGUGCAAGCGUUAAUCGGAUUUACUGGGCGUAAAGCGCGCGUAGGCGGCUAAUUAAGUCAAAUGUGAAAUCCCCGAGCUUAACUUGGGAAUUGCAUUCGAUACUGGUUAGCUAGAGUGUGGGAGAGGAUGGUAGAAUUCCAGGUGUAGCGGUGAAAUGCGUAGAGAUCUGGAGGAAUACCGAUGGCGAAGGCAGCCAUCUGGCCUAACACUGACGCUGAGGUGCGAAAGCAUGGGGAGCAAACAGGAUUAGAUACCCUGGUAGUCCAUGCCGUAAACGAUGUCUACUAGC